Molecule: transfer RNA, 73 nt
Filed under: Canis lupus familiaris (dog)
Lineage: Eukaryota; Metazoa; Chordata; Mammalia; Carnivora; Canidae
Also listed under: 1 other name
Rfam family: tRNA
About the family: Transfer RNA (tRNA) molecules are approximately 80 nucleotides in length.
Source: Rfam by way of RNAcentral
GCCUGACUGGCUUAGUCAGUAGAGCAUGAGACUCUUGAUCUCAGGGUUGUGAGUUCAAAACCCAUGUUGUACA